CGGACGGGUGAGUAAUGUCUGGGAAACUGCCCGAUGGAGGGGGAUAACUACUGGAAACGGUAGCUAAUACCGCAUAAUGUCUACGGACCAAAGCGGGGGACCUCCGGGCCUCGCGCCAUCAGAUGAACCCAUAUGGGAUUAGCUAGUAGGUGAGGUAACGGCUUACCUAGGCGACGAUCCCUAGCUGGUCUGAGAGGAUGAUCAGCCACACUGGGACUGAGACACGGCCCAG
RNAcentral lists this ribosomal RNA (232 nucleotides) under uncultured bacterium. Its description in RNAcentral is "partial 16S ribosomal RNA". It matches the Rfam family "Bacterial small subunit ribosomal RNA", at positions 99 to 334 of the family's 1533-position model. The record is from RNAcentral.